RNAcentral lists this ribosomal RNA (214 nucleotides) under uncultured Rhodocyclaceae bacterium. RNAcentral's name for it is "partial 16S ribosomal RNA". It matches the Rfam family "Bacterial small subunit ribosomal RNA", at positions 1169 to 1382 of the family's 1533-position model. The record is from RNAcentral. Lineage: Bacteria; Pseudomonadati; Pseudomonadota; Betaproteobacteria; Rhodocyclales; Rhodocyclaceae.
GGAAGUGGGGAUGACGUCAAGUCCUCAUGGCCCUUAUGGGUAGGGCUUCACACGUCAUACAAUGGUCGGUACAGAGGGUUGCCAACCCGCGAGGGGGAGCUAAUCCCACAAAGCCGAUCGUAGUCCGGAUCGCAGUCUGCAACUCGACUGCGUGAAGUCGGAAUCGCUAGUAAUCGUGGAUCAGCAUGUCACGGUGAAUACGUUCCCGGGUCUU